CAUGUAGGCGGAUUAAUAAGUUUGAAGUGAAAUCCUAUAGCUUAACUAUAGAACUGCUUUGAAAACUGUUAAUCUAGAAUGCGGGAGAGGUAGAUGGAAUUUCUGGUGUAGGGGUAAAAUCCGUAGAGAUCAGAAGGAAUACCGAUUGCGAAGGCGAUCUACUGGAACAUUAUUGACGCUGAGAUGCGAAAGCGUGGGGAGCAAACA
RNAcentral lists this ribosomal RNA (207 nucleotides) under uncultured bacterium. RNAcentral describes it as "partial 16S ribosomal RNA". It matches the Rfam family "Bacterial small subunit ribosomal RNA", at positions 568 to 774 of the family's 1533-position model. The record is from RNAcentral.